RNAcentral lists this ribosomal RNA (440 nucleotides) under uncultured bacterium. Its description in RNAcentral is "partial 16S ribosomal RNA". It matches the Rfam family "Bacterial small subunit ribosomal RNA", at positions 338 to 795 of the family's 1533-position model. The record is from RNAcentral.
CCUACGGGUGGCAGCAGUGGGGGAUAUUGCACAAUGGGGGAAACCCUGAUGCAGCGACGCCGCGUGGGGGAAGGAGCGUUUCGGCGUGUAAAGUCCUAUUGGUAGGGAAGAAGAUGACGGUAUCUGACGAAUAAGCACCGGCUAACUACGUGCCAGCAGCCGCGGUAAUACGUAGGGGGCAAGCGUUACCCGGAUUUACUGGGCGUAAAGGGGGCGCAGACGGGAUAGCAAGUCAGGUGUGAAAGCCUAGGGCUUAACCACAGGACUGCAUUUGAAACUGGAUGUCUAGAGUAUGGGAGGGGCAGGCGGAAUUCCUGGUGUAGGGGUAAAAUGCGUAGAGAUUAAGAGGAACACCGAUGGCGAAGGCGACCUGCUAGACUGUAACUGACGCUGAUGCGCGAAGGCGUGGGGAGCAAACAGGAUUAGAUACCCCAGUAGUC